This 779-nucleotide ribosomal RNA is filed under the name uncultured Bacteroidota bacterium. RNAcentral's name for it is "bacterial SSU rRNA". It matches the Rfam family "Bacterial small subunit ribosomal RNA", at positions 561 to 1345 of the family's 1533-position model. The record is from RNAcentral. Lineage: Bacteria; Pseudomonadati; Bacteroidota.
UAAAGGGAGCGUAGGCCGGAUGCUAAGCGUGCCGUGAAAUGCAUGUGCUCAACAUAUGCACUGCGGCGCGAACUGGUGUUCUUGAGUGCGCUGAAAGUGGGCGGAAUUCGUGGUGUAGCGGUGAAAUGCUUAGAUAUCACGAGGAACUCCGAUUGCGAAGGCAGCUCGCUGUAGCGUAACUGACGCUGAUGCUCGAAAGCGCGGGUAUCGAACAGGAUUAGAUACCCUGGUAGUCCGCGCGGUAAACGAUGGAUGCCCGCUGUUUGCCAUUAUGGUAAGCGGCCAAGCGAAAGCGUUAAGCAUCCCACCUGGGGAGUACGCCGGCAACGGUGAAACUCAAAGGAAUUGACGGGGGCCCGCACAAGCGGAGGAACAUGUGGUUUAAUUCGAUGAUACGCGAGGAACCUUACCCGGGCUUGAACUGCAGGAGAACGAUUCAGAGAUGAUGAGGUCCUUCGGGACUCCUGUGGAGGUGCUGCAUGGUUGUCGUCAGCUCGUGCCGUGAGGUGUCGGCUUAAGUGCCAUAACGAGCGCAACCCUUGCGCGUAGUUGCCAUCAGGUUAUGCUGGGCACUCUGCGCGGACUGCCACCGCAAGGUGUGAGGAAGGUGGGGAUGACGUCAAAUCAGCACGGCCCUUACGUCCGGGGCUACACACGUGUUACAAUGGGUGGUACAGAGAGCCGGCCGCAUGCAAAUGCGGUCCAAUCCUUAAAGCCGUCCUCAGUUCGGAUUGGGGUCUGCAACCCGACCCCAUGAAGCUGGAUUCGCUAGUAAUCGC